ACAGUGGACGCGAGCAUCUGUGGCCAAGUUUUUAAGGGCGCACGGUGGAUGCUUGGCACCAGGAACCGAUGAAGGACGUGGGAGGCCACGAUAGUCCCCCCCGGGGAGUCGUCAACCAGACUUUGAUCCGGGGGUUUCCGAAUGGGGGAAACCCGGCAGUCGUCAUGGGCUGUCACCCGCUGCUGAACACAUAGGCAGUGUGGAGGGAACGAGGGGGAAGUGAAACAUCUCAGUACCCUCAGGAAGAGAAAACAACCGUGAUUCCGGGAGUAGUGGCGAGCGAAACUGGAUCAGGCCAAACCGUAUGCGUGUGAUACCCGGCAGGGGUUGCGCAUGCGGGGGGGUUGUGGGAUCUCUCUUUCACAGUCUGCCGGCUGUGAGACGAGUCAGAAACCGUUGAUGUAGGCGAAGGACAUGCGAAAGGUCCGGCGUAGAGGGUAAGACCCCCCCGUAGCUGAAACAUCAGCGGCUUGUUUGAGAGACACCCAAGUAGCACGGGGGCCCGAGAAAUCCCGUGUGAAUCUGGCGGGACCACCCGUUAAGCCUAAAUAUUCCCUGGUGACCGAUAGCGGAUAGUACCGUGAGGGAAUGGUGAAAAGUACCGCGGGAGCGGAGUGAAAUAGUACCUGAAACCGUGUGCCUACAAGCCGUGGGAGCGUCGC
RNAcentral lists this ribosomal RNA (662 nucleotides) under Streptomyces sp. SID7803. RNAcentral's name for it is "partial 23S ribosomal RNA". It matches the Rfam family "Bacterial large subunit ribosomal RNA", at positions 1 to 585 of the family's 2925-position model. Lineage: Bacteria; Bacillati; Actinomycetota; Actinomycetes; Kitasatosporales; Streptomycetaceae. The record is from RNAcentral.